CGCACGGUGAGUAACACGUAUGCAACCUGCCUGCCACAGCCGGAUAAUCGGAGAAUUCCGUCUAAUACGGCAUAAUGCAUCGACGGGACAUCCUGUUGGUGCCAAAGGUUAAUUCCGGUGGCGGAUGGGCAUGCGUCGCAUUAGUUAGUUGGCGGUGUAACGGACCACCAAGACGACGAUGCGUAGGGGUUCUGAGAGGAAGGUCCCCCACACUGGUACUGAGACACGGACCAGACUCCUACGGAAGGCAGCAG
Molecule: ribosomal RNA, 254 nt
Filed under: uncultured bacterium
Lineage: Bacteria
Description: partial 16S ribosomal RNA
Rfam family: Bacterial small subunit ribosomal RNA
Source: RNAcentral